This 520-nucleotide ribosomal RNA is filed under the name uncultured Glomus. RNAcentral describes it as "SSU rRNA". It matches the Rfam family "Eukaryotic small subunit ribosomal RNA", at positions 569 to 1091 of the family's 1831-position model. Lineage: Eukaryota; Fungi; Glomeromycota; Glomeromycetes; Glomerales; Glomeraceae. The record is from RNAcentral.
AGCAGCCGCGGUAAUUCCAGCUCCAAUAGCGUAUAUUAAAGUUGUUGCAGUUAAAAAGCUCGUAGUUGAAUUUCGGGAUCGACGGGUCGGUCGCGCCUCCGGUGUGUACUGGCCCUGUCGGUUUCUCCCUUCUGACGAACCACGAUGUCAUUAAUUUGAUGUCGUGGGAAAUCAGGACUGUUACUUUGAAAAAAUUAGAGUGUUUAAAGCAGGCAUUCGCUUGAAUACAUUAGCAUGGAAUAAUGAAAUAGGACGUUUGAUCUUAUUUUGUUGGUUUCUAAGAUCGACGUAAUGAUUAAUAGGGAUAGUUGGGGGCAUUAGUAUUCAAUUGUCAGAGGUGAAAUUCUUGGAUUUAUUGAAGACUAACUACUGCGAAAGCAUUUGCCAAGGAUGUUUUCAUUAAUCAAGAACGAAAGUUAGGGGAUCGAAGACGAUCAGAUACCGUCGUAGUCUUAACCAUAAACUAUGCCGACUAGGGAUCGGAUGAUGUUAAUUUUUAAUGACUCAUUCGGCGCCUUAA